GACGAACGCUGGCGGCGUACCUAAUACAUGCAAGUCGAGCGAAGCGGCGGAUGGGUGAGUAACGCGUGGAUACCCUGCCCUUAAGUCUGGGAUACCAUUUGGAAACAGAUGCUAAUAACGGAUACUAAAGGAUGGCCCUUCGAUGCAUUGUAUAGUUGGUAAGGUAACGGCUUACCAAGGCGAUGAUGCAUAGAGGGGUUGAGAGACGUAUCGGCCACAGUGGAGCUGAGACACGGCCCAAACUCCUACGGGAGGCAGCAGUAGGGAAUCUUCCACAAUGGACGAAAGUCUGAUGGAGAAACGCCGCGUGAGUGAAGAAGGUUUGCGGAUCGUAAAGCUCUGUUGUUGGUGAAGCGGUAAUCAACCAGAAAGUCACGGCUAACUACGUGCCAGCAGCCGCGGUAAUUC
Molecule: ribosomal RNA, 408 nt
Filed under: uncultured bacterium
Lineage: Bacteria
Description: partial 16S ribosomal RNA
Rfam family: Bacterial small subunit ribosomal RNA
Source: RNAcentral